This 683-nucleotide ribosomal RNA is filed under the name uncultured organism. RNAcentral's name for it is "bacterial SSU rRNA". It matches the Rfam family "Bacterial small subunit ribosomal RNA", at positions 632 to 1319 of the family's 1533-position model. The record is from RNAcentral.
ACUGUUGUUCUUGAGUACAGUCGAGGUAGGCGGAAUGUGUAAUGUAGCGGUGAAAUGCAUAGAUAUUACCCAGAGCACCGAUUGCGUAGUCAGCUUACCAGCCUGGAACUGACGCUGAUGCACGAAAGCGUGGGGAGCGAACAGGAUUAGAUACCCUGGUAGUCCACGCCGUAAACGAGGAUCACUCGCUGUUGGCAAUAUAGAGUCAGCGGCUGAGCGAAAGCAUUAAGUGAUCCACCUGGGGAGUACGUCGGCAACGAUGAAACUCAAAGGAAUUGACGGGGGCCCGCACAAGCGGUGGAACAUGUGGUUUAAUUCGAUGAUACGCGAGGAACCUUACCUGGGCUUAAAUGUAGCCGGACGAUUCCGGAAACGGGAUUUCCUUAACGGCUGAUUACAAGCUGCUGCAUGGCUGUCGUCAGCUCGUCCCGUGAGGUGUCGGGUUAAGUCCCAUAACGAGCGCAACCCUUAUUCUUAGUUGCCAGCGGGUAGAGCCGGGGACUCUAAGGAGACUGCCUCCGUAAGGUGUGAGGAAGGUGGGGAUGACGUCAAGUCAGCACGGCCAUUACGUCCAGGGCUACACACGUGUUACAAUGGCCGGUACAGAAGGCAUCGAACUUGAGAGAGGGCGCGAAUCCAUGAAAGCCGGUCUCAGUUCGGAUUGGAGUCUGCAACCCGACUUC